AACGAACGCUGGCGGCAUACCUAACACAUGCAAGUCGAACGAGACCUUCGGGUCUAGUGGCGCACGGGUGCGUAACGCGUGGGAACCCGCCCUUAGGUUCGGAAUAACUCCCCGAAAGGGGUGCUAAUACCGGAUAAUGUCUUCGGACCAAAGAUUUAUCGCCUUUGGAUGGGCCCGCGUUGGAUUAGCUAGUUGGUAGGGUAAAAGCCUACCAAGGCGACGAUCCAUAGCUGGUCUGAGAGGAUGAUCAGCCACACUGGGACUGAGACACGGCCCAGACUCCUACGGGAGGCAGCAGUGGGGAAUAUUGGACAAUGGGCGAAAGCCUGAUCCAGCAAUGCCGCGUGAGUGAUGAAGGCCUUAGGGUUGUAAAGCUCUUUUACCCGGGAUGAUAAUGACAGUACCGGGAGAAUAAGCUCCGGCUAACUCCGUG
Molecule: ribosomal RNA, 433 nt
Filed under: uncultured bacterium
Lineage: Bacteria
Description: partial 16S ribosomal RNA
Rfam family: Bacterial small subunit ribosomal RNA
Source: RNAcentral